RNAcentral lists this unclassified non-coding RNA (449 nucleotides) under soil metagenome. RNAcentral describes it as "partial contains 5.8S ribosomal RNA, internal transcribed spacer 2, and large subunit ribosomal RNA". The stretch from base 1 to 120 matches the Rfam family "5.8S ribosomal RNA", at positions 35 to 154 of the family's 154-position model. The record is from RNAcentral.
GAUGAAGAACGCAGCGAAAUGCGAUGAGUAGUGUGAAUUGCAGAAUUCAGUGAAUCAUCGAAUCUUUGAACGCACAUUGCGCCUCCUGGUAUUCCGGGAGGCAUGCCUGUCCGAGCGUCAUUAAACCACAUAAACCUUUCAGUUUUGAGAGGUUUGCUUUUGAGGGAUGAGUGAUCGAUUCUUUUUUAGUAUCUGGACGCUCCCCCUAGAAUUUGAAUGGCGGGCCCGAAUUAAAAAAAAUACAAAUCUUUCAUGGCUGAGGACCGACGGGUGUAGUAGCAGUUAAGAAAUUUUCUCACCACCCCUACAGUUCUCGAUAGCAGAGAGGUUAGUAGUUUAAUUCGAGUCCAGCCGAAAAUCUGAUGAUUUCGUCAUUCUUUUUUUCUUUUUUUUGACCUCGGAUCAGGUAGGGAUACCCGCUGAACUUAAGCAUAUCAAUAAGCGGAGGA